This 28-nucleotide non-coding RNA is filed under the name Rattus norvegicus (Norway rat). Lineage: Eukaryota; Metazoa; Chordata; Mammalia; Rodentia; Muridae. The record is from RNAcentral.
UGCAUGUGCAAGUGUCACCUACUGACUU